GAUGAAGAACGUAGCGAAAUGCGAUAAGUAAUGUGAAUUGCAGAAUUCAGUGAAUCAUCGAAUCUUUGAACGCAUCUUGCGCUCCUUGGUAUUCUGAGGAGCAUGCCUGUUUGAGUGUCAUUAAAUUCUCAACUACACUGACUUUGAAUUGGUGUGGCUUGGAUUUGGGGGGAAAAUUGUUGUGGGCUUUUUGUAUAGUCUGCUCCCCUGAAAUUGAUUAGCGGUACCUUUGUGGAACUGUCUACAGGUGUGAUAAUUAUCUACAUCUUAGACAUCUGCUGGAAUGCUGCUUUCUAAACCUUACUUGUAUUGACAAUCUUGACCUCGAAUCAGGUAGGACUACCCGCUGAACUUAAGCAUAUCAAUAAGCGGAGGA
RNAcentral lists this unclassified non-coding RNA (376 nucleotides) under soil metagenome. RNAcentral's name for it is "partial contains 5.8S ribosomal RNA, internal transcribed spacer 2, and large subunit ribosomal RNA". The stretch from base 1 to 120 matches the Rfam family "5.8S ribosomal RNA", at positions 35 to 154 of the family's 154-position model. The record is from RNAcentral.